RNAcentral lists this ribosomal RNA (257 nucleotides) under uncultured bacterium. Its description in RNAcentral is "partial 16S ribosomal RNA". It matches the Rfam family "Bacterial small subunit ribosomal RNA", at positions 521 to 777 of the family's 1533-position model. The record is from RNAcentral.
UAAUACGUAGGGUGCGAGCGUUGUCCGGAAUUAUUGGGCGUAAAGAGCUCGUAGGCGGCUUGUCACGUCGGAUGUGAAAGCUCGGGGCUUAACCCCGAGUCUGCAUUCGAUACGGGCUAGCUAGAGUGUGGUAGGGGAGAUCGGAAUUCCUGGUGUAGCGGUGAAAUGCGCAGAUAUCAGGAGGAACACCGGUGGCGAAGGCGGAUCUCUGGGCCAUUACUGACGCUGAGGAGCGAAAGCGUGGGGAGCGAACAGGA